This 73-nucleotide transfer RNA is filed under the name Dermatophagoides pteronyssinus (European house dust mite). Its description in RNAcentral is "tRNA-Val". It matches the Rfam family "tRNA". Rfam says of the family: Transfer RNA (tRNA) molecules are approximately 80 nucleotides in length. Their secondary structure includes four short double-helical elements and three loops (D, anti-codon, and T loops). RNAcentral also lists the same sequence under 2 other names. Lineage: Eukaryota; Metazoa; Arthropoda; Arachnida; Sarcoptiformes; Pyroglyphidae. The record is from Rfam by way of RNAcentral.
GUGUCUGUGGUGUAGUGGCUAUCACAUCUGCUUCACACGCAGAAGGUCCCAGGUUCGAAACCUGGCAGACACA